CCCUAGCCCGGAUGGCAGCGGCAUCCUUUUUUGCGCUUCUUUAGCGCAGAAAAGAUUGCCUCACAAAGUUAAUAUUCGAUUUCUGUGUUCGGCCCGUUCGCUACGCUCGGGUGCAGCGUACAGCCGGAAUAGCU
This 134-nucleotide unclassified non-coding RNA is filed under the name Flavobacterium caeni. RNAcentral's name for it is "Flavo-1 RNA". Lineage: Bacteria; Pseudomonadati; Bacteroidota; Flavobacteriia; Flavobacteriales; Flavobacteriaceae. The record is from RNAcentral.